GCAAUUGAAGCUAUGUUGUAGCAUUGGUCUUGUAAAUCGAAGAAAAGGUAUUAUAUACCUCUAUUGCU
Molecule: transfer RNA, 68 nt
Filed under: Pomacea canaliculata
Lineage: Eukaryota; Metazoa; Mollusca; Gastropoda; Architaenioglossa; Ampullariidae
Description: tRNA-Thr
Source: RNAcentral